GUAUUAAUUGCGUGUGAUCGCAAAAGAAAAACAUUCUACACUGUAUCGAGUUUGUGUGAAAACGUGAGCCCCCGAAAGGGGACCCACGCGGUGGUGCACAUAGGGGUGAGAUGGAUGUUUGAGAACGCUCGGGCGUGCACGACGAAAAAGUCAGCGACAGCCCUCGCGCCUCGGUUUUACGAUAAUGAUCCUUCCGCAGGUUCACCUACGGAAA
Molecule: unclassified non-coding RNA, 214 nt
Filed under: uncultured fungus
Lineage: Eukaryota; Fungi
Description: sequence contains ITS1
Source: RNAcentral